This is a long non-coding RNA of Oncorhynchus tshawytscha (Chinook salmon), 667 nucleotides long. Lineage: Eukaryota; Metazoa; Chordata; Actinopteri; Salmoniformes; Salmonidae. The record is from Ensembl.
GGGGUCUCUAGGUGUUGAUGGUUGUGUUGUAACAUGGUCCUAUAUGGGGUCUGUAGGUGUUGAUGGUUGUGUUGUAACAUGGUCCUAUAUGGGGUCUCUAGGUGUUGAUGGUUGUGAUGUAACAUGGUCCUAUAUGGGGUCUCUAGGUGUUGAUGGUUGUGUUGUAACAUGGUCCUAUAUGGGGUCUCUAGGUGUUGAUGGUUGUGUUGUAACAUGGUCCUAUAUGGGGUCUCUAGGAGGUGUUGAUGGUUGUGUUGUAACAUGGUCCUAUAUGGGGUCUCUAGGUGUUGAUGGUUGUGUUGUAACAUGGUCCUAUAUGGGGUCUGUAGGUGUUGAUGGUUGUGUUGUAACAUGGUCCUAUAUGGGGUCUCUAGGUGUUGAUGGUUGUUGGGGGACAGGUAGUGGCUGUGUUUGGAGGUAUAUUUAGCUGGGGGACAGGUAGUGGCUGUGACUGGAGGUAUAUUUAGCUGGGGGACAGGUAGUGGCUGUGACUGGAGGUAUAUUUAGCUGGGGGACAGGUAGUGGCUGUGACUUGGGGUAUAUUUAGCUGGGGGGACCGUUUUUGUGUGGCUAGUAGUCCCUAGAAAUGCCAGAAGCUAGGAAGAAACCUAGAGAGGAACCAGGCUAUGAGGGGUGGCCAGUCCUCUUCUGGCUGUGCCGGGUGGAG